Molecule: long non-coding RNA, 1359 nt
Filed under: Monodelphis domestica (gray short-tailed opossum)
Lineage: Eukaryota; Metazoa; Chordata; Mammalia; Didelphimorphia; Didelphidae
Description: lncRNA (ENSMODG00000039263.1)
Source: RNAcentral
GCUGAAUUAUUUACAAGGAAGGAUGGCUCAGAUGUUGAGGAGAUAAAAGGCAUAUGAGGAUCAGGUGAAAAACUGUUUAUCUUAGAGAAAAUCAAAUGUGGGGAGGACCUGAGAGUUGACUUCAUAUAUUUGAAGGGCUGAGAUGCAGAAAUGGGAUUAGGUUUAUUCUACUUGGCCCCAGAACUGAACAAGAAGCAAUGAAUGGAAGCAGAAGAGAAGAAGAUUUAACUUUAGCGUGAGGAAAUCUUGCUAAAAAUAGAAUGCAUCUAAAAGAAGAAUGAACUUCAGGAGAGAAAGACUUCCCCAUUCCUGGAGGUAUUCAAGAAGAGAACAAAAGACCAGUCCUUGGAGAUGUUGUAGAAGGGAUUCUUAUUCAGGAACUGAGACCCAAGGAGCUUCAGCAAUUUGCCCAAGAUCUUACAACUAAUGAAGAAACAGCUAGAACUAGAACCUAUGACUUCUGAGCCUUGAGCCAACAUCCUGUCUGGUGCAUGAUGCUAUUUACCACAUUACAGUAAAGCAGCCAAUAUUUCAGUGCAAUAACUAAUUUCCUUCAAACUGUACUUUGGGAUCAUUUCUGGAGGUUAUUAAGGUCUGAGCUACAGAUCAUGAUAAUGGUGUGUGCAUAUGUGUAUGUGUGUAUUGGUGCACAUGUGUUUGGAAAGAGUGAGAGGUGGAAAUCUCCAGCUGAAUUUGUGAUGAUUCAUAUAGAUUCCCAGGUCAUGAGGAGAACUCUGACUUAACAUAAAGAGUAAAUUCCUAAUCAUAUUCAUGAAUGAAAACAGGUUCUAUAAUUUUAAAUAAUCUGCUUUAUAGUCAACAUGGGUAAAGCAGGACCUCCUACCCUUCUUUGCAGAGAUGGAAGACUCGAUUAUAAUUAGAUGGAAGGGGCAGGUAUAAUCAGGAAUGAAGGUAAUAACAAAGCUAUUAAACAUCCCAAGUAUUCCUUAAGUAGAGCAGAGCAGUUUUCAUAAUCAUCUUCAGAGAAAUUAGAAAGAUCAUUUUGGAUCUCCAGGAGAUCACAACUAACUACUAUCUUCUUGCAUUAUGCCAUCACCCUUGUUCACAUACUUCUACAAAAUUUCCACAGAGGAAACCCCUAAGAUACCUAGACCCUUCCUAUAGAUUUCUUAUCAUAGUAUGGAUACCAAUCACCUUUGGUUAUCCCUAUAACACCCACCACUUCCCUUUACUGUCAUAAAUCCCUUUCUUUCUGAUGGAGGCAAUUGAGGAGAGUGACAUGUCAGACCUACUCUUUAAUUCUUUGUCUUGUUUCCAAUGAAACAAACCCCCAAAACCUUACUUUAAAAGUUUCUUUGAGUAUAUUUUGGCAGGAAGGCUGAGGAGGGAGGAAGCUCA